UACGAAGGGUGCAAGCGUUACUCGGAAUUACUGGGCGUAAAGCGCGCGCAGGCGGCCUUUCAAGUCAGUGGUGAAAGCCCGGAGCUCAACUCCGGAACUGCCAUUGAAACUGUUUGGCUUGAGUACGAGAGAGGUGAGUGGAAUUCCCAGUGUAGAGGUGAAAUUCGUAGAUAUUGGGAAGAACACCGGUGGCGAAGGCGGCUCACUGGCUCGUUACUGACGCUCAGGCGCGACAGCGUGGGGAUCAAACAGG
Molecule: ribosomal RNA, 253 nt
Filed under: uncultured prokaryote
Description: partial 16S ribosomal RNA
Rfam family: Bacterial small subunit ribosomal RNA
Source: RNAcentral